CCUACGGGAGGCAGCAGUGAGGAAUAUUGGUCAAUGGCCGAGAGGCUGAACCAGCCAAGUCGCGUGAGGGAAGACGGCCCUACGGGUUGUAAACCUCUUUUGUCGGGGAGCAAAGCGAGUCACGUGUGACUCAUUGAGAGUACCCGAAGAAAAAGCAUCGGCUAACUCCGUGCCAGCAGCCGCGGUAAUACGGAGGAUGCGAGCGUUAUCCGGAUUUAUUGGGUUUAAAGGGUGCGCAGGCGGAGGUGCAAGUCAGCGGUCAAAUUGAGGGGCUCAACCCCGUACUGCCGUUGACACUGCAGCCCUUGAGUGCGCGAGAAGUAUGCGGAAUGCGUGGUGUAGCGGUGAAAUGCAGAGAUAUCACGCAGAACUCCGAGUGCGAAGGCUGCAUACCGGCGCGCAACUGACGCUCAUGCACGAAAGCGUGGGUAUCGAACAGGAUUAGAUACCCUUGUAGUC
RNAcentral lists this ribosomal RNA (459 nucleotides) under uncultured bacterium. RNAcentral describes it as "partial 16S ribosomal RNA". It matches the Rfam family "Bacterial small subunit ribosomal RNA", at positions 338 to 795 of the family's 1533-position model. The record is from RNAcentral.